Molecule: non-coding RNA, 1611 nt
Organism: Podarcis muralis (Common wall lizard)
Lineage: Eukaryota; Metazoa; Chordata; Lepidosauria; Squamata; Lacertidae
Source: RefSeq, a predicted model, not a curated record
CUGGGCCUGGCCUCACUCAAGCCCCGACGGAAGUUGGAGGGAGAGAGGAGGUGGGGGGGGCGGGGUAGGGAAUAGCGUCACGUUUCGGGCGCGCUCGGAACGACUUCGGGGAAACUCGGGUCAGUAGGACGCGGUUGGCCGUCGCGUUCUUCUUUAAAAGACACUAUUCGGAGAGCGCCCCUCCCGGCAGCAUUCGGAAACGCUCGGUUUUGCCGGUCUUUCGGGAAUGUUCGGAAGGACUCGGGGGGUAAGGCGUUGAGGGGGCGACGGCGUUCGGCCAGCGUUCGACUCUUCGUGUGCGUCCUCGCGCCUCGCCCUCGGGACAGUAUUUACCCCUCCCUACCCCGCUCGCCUCCUGUUCGGACAUUUCCGCUGCCGGCCGAUUCGGACAUUGGCGUCGGUUGAGGAGGGGUCGCCAUCUUUGUGCUACUAACCUACUCAGAAGGCGCGAGGGGAGCUGUGGGUCAGGGACGGGGGCGGUUUCCUAUCAAUCUCCGUCGUAGCCAUUUUUCUUUAUAUAUAAAGAAACUCGGGGCUUGAGUGUCCCACAAAGGAGCUCAAUGUGUGCAUAGCUCUCCCCACCAUAUCCUCGCAACAUCCUAGCAGGUCAAAAUUCAACAGGCGCGGUGCGGGGGACAGGGAGAGGCAGUGAUAAGUCUUACAGUUCAGUUAUGCAACUUGAGAACUGCAGGUUUCCCCAACCUGAUGGCCUCUAGUUGCUUCAGACUACAGCUCAACAUCUGGAGGGCUCUAAAUUUCAGAGUAUGGCAGAAACCCCUGUAAAGCCAGCAUGGAUUUUACUGUAAUUUCUCUUAUUCCAGAUGCUAAACUGUUCUGAGGACAUUGCAAGCUGAAAGAUCAACACUCCGAAACCAUUACUAUACACCUGUGCAUUUUUAUGUCAUUCUGUUGUGAAGACUCACUAAUGAUGAGUACAUCUAAGAACAUAGGAAGCUACUUCAUACUUAUCCAUCAGUUCAUCUAGCUCAGUAUAAGAGCAGGUCUCUCGGUUUUGAGGCAGGGGCUUCUCCCUGAGUCCCAAGAAAUGCCAGGGAUUGAAUCCGGGGUUUUCUGCAUGCAAAGCAAAUGCUUCACCAUUCACCCAUAGCUCAGUGGCCUGUAUUUCUUUUGUUUAACUUUUUGCCCCAUUGUAAAAGACGGAAAACAACUCACAAAGUUUAGGAAAUCUGCUUCCUGUUAAUUUUUUACUUUGGACAUUAAGUUAGUUACUAAACCGAAACCGGUACAGUACCUGCGUAAAUGAUACUGAAUACUCUCAAAAUGUGGACAAACAGUUCUUUAACUACCUGAUGCAAAGAGGAAGUCUAUUUAAAAGUUUUGAGAAGUUGUGUAAUGUGACUUUAUAUGUGUAUGUUGGCAGAAGAACAGCAUGAUUCCUGUACGUGGGUGUGGAUUGCUAGAAUAAUCAUGCUGAUGUAAUCCUGGAAAAUUUGACACAGACUAUAAAGGCUAGGGGAAUCAUGUUCAUGCUGAGUUUUUCAAGGAACACUGCCUUUUUUAUUUUUAACGUCAGCUUAUAUUGAAAUAUGUUCAGUAUUGUCUGGAAUUGUCAUCUUCACUGCAAAAAAGAGAAUUAAAUAUUAAAACCUA